This 680-nucleotide ribosomal RNA is filed under the name Repetobasidium mirificum. RNAcentral's name for it is "partial large subunit ribosomal RNA". The stretch from base 301 to 612 matches the Rfam family "Bacterial large subunit ribosomal RNA", at positions 1705 to 2024 of the family's 2925-position model. Lineage: Eukaryota; Fungi; Basidiomycota; Agaricomycetes; Hymenochaetales. The record is from RNAcentral.
AAAUUAUCCCUCAUAAGUUUGAUGAUAAGAGAAACCAAUAUCAUUAACUUGCAACUUAAAGAAAUUUGAGUUGUUUUAUUAUUAUUAAUACAAAACUUUAUUGAUAUAUAUUUUUAAUAUCUAUUAUAGAUUAAUUAUAAUAAUAUGUUUACUAUUAUAUUUUUAUAUUGAUAUAUUAUUGUAUUUAUUCUAAUCAAAUAAUCAAAUUUAAUUUUCUAGUAUUUGUGAAAAUGUCUUUAAUUAGAUAAUAAUAUCAAAUAUAGUCUAAAUUUGGUAUUAAGGAAAUUAAAUUGUUUGAUAUAGAGGAAUUAAUAUUAAGAACCGUAGACUGGUGUAAUAAAUUUACCAAAUAAGUUAAUUAAAAUUGGUGUCACAAAAUCGGAGGCCUCGACUGUUUACUAAAAACUUAAGAAUGUGCGAUGAUGUAAAUCAUAGUAUACGUUCUGAAAUUUGCUCGAUGCCAUUAAUAUAAAAAAGGUAAUAGGAUAACUGUUACUGAUUGAAAAUCUGGUUAAUAGCGGUCUUAACUAUGAGGAUCCUAAGGUAGCGUAAUCAAUUGGCCAUUAAAUGUGGUCCGGUAUCAAUAAUGUAACGAAGGUCUCACUGUCUCUACAACUUGCUCAGUGAAAUUGAAUUACCCGUGCAGAUGCGGGUUACCCCCAGGGGACGGGAAGACCUAU